GCCCGAAUAGCUCAGUCGGUAGAGCAGGGGAUUGAAAAUCCCCGUGUCCCUGGUUCGAUUCCGGGUUCGGGCA
Pantoea ananatis LMG 20103 is the source of this 73-nucleotide transfer RNA. It matches the Rfam family "tRNA". From Rfam's summary of the family: Transfer RNA (tRNA) molecules are approximately 80 nucleotides in length. Their secondary structure includes four short double-helical elements and three loops (D, anti-codon, and T loops). The record is from Rfam. NCBI's taxonomy places the organism in Bacteria, Pseudomonadati, Pseudomonadota, Gammaproteobacteria, Enterobacterales, Erwiniaceae.